UUCGUCUUUGCCAUGCAGAAUGGGAUGUUCUAUGCCGGUUAUGCUCCAGCUCCUAUGCCUUUCCCCAUGACCACACCGCAAGUGCCUAUGUAUGGAAUGAUUCCUCAGAUGGGUCAGAUGGGGGGUGUACAGGUGAUGGCCACCCAGCCCAUGAUGUACAACCAGCCUGUACUCAGAUCCACAAACCCCUUCUCCCCCAUGCCUGGAGCACAGAUGCAGUUCAUGUAAUUUCAUCGGGGGGAGCAGAGUGACAAAAUUGAUGGCUUAAACACACAGAGCGGACGAACGAUGAAUAGGGGAACGAAUGAAUGAAAGACUGAGGGGCAGACAGAAGAAAAACCAGCCAACACCAAAUACAAGAGGAGAGGAAGAUGAACCCGGGAGAUGGAGGGGUAGAGGAGGAUAGACCCGGGAGAUGGAGAGGUAGAGGA
Molecule: long non-coding RNA, 431 nt
Organism: Salvelinus sp. IW2-2015
Lineage: Eukaryota; Metazoa; Chordata; Actinopteri; Salmoniformes; Salmonidae
Source: RefSeq, a predicted model, not a curated record